RNAcentral lists this ribosomal RNA (457 nucleotides) under uncultured bacterium. RNAcentral describes it as "bacterial SSU rRNA". It matches the Rfam family "Bacterial small subunit ribosomal RNA", at positions 29 to 524 of the family's 1533-position model. The record is from RNAcentral.
AGCGAACGCUGGCGGCAGGCUUAACACAUGCAAGUCGAACGGGCGUAGCAAUACGUCAGUGGCAGACGGGUGAGUAACGCGUGGGAACGUACCUUUUGGUUCGGAACAACCCAGGGAAACCUCGGCUAAUACCGCAUAAGCCGGAGAAAUCCGGGAAAGAUUUAUCGCGAGAGGAGGGGCCCGCGUCGGAUUAGCUUGUUGGUGGGGUAACGGCCUACCAAGGCGAUGAUCCGUAGCUGGUCUGAGAGGAUGAUCAGCCACACUGGGACUGAGACACGGCCCAGACUCCUACGGGAGGCAGCAGUGGGGAAUAUUGGACAAUGGGCGCAAGCCUGAUCCAGCAAUGCCGCGUGAGUGAGGAAGGCCUUAGGGUUGUAAAGCUCUUUCACCCGCGACCGAUGAUGACGGUAGCGGGAGAAGAAGCCCCGGCUAACUUCGUGCCAGCAGCCGCAGUAAU